RNAcentral lists this ribosomal RNA (277 nucleotides) under uncultured prokaryote. RNAcentral describes it as "partial 16S ribosomal RNA". It matches the Rfam family "Bacterial small subunit ribosomal RNA", at positions 524 to 801 of the family's 1533-position model. The record is from RNAcentral.
CACGGGGUUGCGAGCGUUGUCCGGAAUUACUAGGCGUAAAGGGCAGGCAGGCGGAUCCAUAAGUUUAUCGUUUAAGGCGUCGGCUUAACCGGAGUAGGGCGGUAGAUACUGUGGAUCUGGAAUGCGGUUGGGGAAGACAGAAUUCCUGGUGUAGCGGUGGAAUGCGCAGAGAUCAGGAGGAAUACCGAAGGCGAAGGCAGUCUUCCAAGCCGUUAUUGACGCUCAACUGCGAAGGUGUGGGUAUCAAACAGGAUUAGAUACCCGGGUAGUCCCUGAG